AUACGGAGGGGGCAAGCGUUGUUCGGAAUCACUGGGCGUAAAGCGCGCGUAGGCGGCCGAGUCAGUCGGGCGUGAAAGCCCAGGGCUCAACCCUGGAAGUGCGUCCGAUACUGCUCGGCUUGAGUACGGGAGAGGAGAGUGGAAUUCCCAGUGUAGCGGUGAAAUGCGUAGAUAUUGGGAGGAACACCGGUGGCGAAGGCGGCUCUCUGGACCGUUACUGACGCUGAGGUGCGAAAGCUAGGGGAGCAAACGGGAUUAGAAACCCCGGUAGUCC
RNAcentral lists this ribosomal RNA (274 nucleotides) under uncultured bacterium. RNAcentral's name for it is "partial 16S ribosomal RNA". It matches the Rfam family "Bacterial small subunit ribosomal RNA", at positions 523 to 796 of the family's 1533-position model. The record is from RNAcentral.